AAGUUGUUGCAGUUAAAAAGCUCGUAGUUGAACUUUGGGCCUGGGCGGACGGUCUACCUAUGGUAAGCACUGUUGCGGCCGGGUCUUUCCUUCUGGCUAGCCCUCGGGCGAACCAGGACGAUUACUUUGAGGAAAUUAGAGUGUUCAAAGCAGGCCUUUGCUCGGAUAUAUUAGCAUGGAAUAAUAGAAUAGGACGCAUGGUUCUAUUUUGUUGGUUUCUAGGACCAUCGUAAUGAUUAAUAGGGACGGUCGGGGGCAUCAGUAUUCAGUCGUCAGAGGUGAAAUUCUUGGAUUGACUGAAGACUAACUACUGCGAAAGCAUUUGCCAAGGACGUUUUCAUUAAUCAAGAACGAAAGUUAGGGGAUCGAAGAUGAUCAGAUACCGUCGUAGUCUUAACCAUAAACUAUGCCGACUAGGGAUCGGGUGGUGCUACUUUGCCCACUCGGCACCUUACGAGAAAUCAAAGUUUUUGGGUUCUGGGGGGAGUAUGGUCGCAAGGCUGAAACUUAAAGGAAUUGACGGANGGGCACCACCAGGAGUGGAGCCUGCGGCUUAAUUUGACUCAACACGGGGAAACUCACCAGGUCCAGACGUAAUAAGGAUUGACAAGUUANAGACUUCUCUUGAUCUUACGGGUGGUGGUGCAUGGCCGUUUUUAGUCCUUGGAGUGAUUUGUCUGCUUAAUUGCGAUAACGGACGAGACCUUAACCUGCUAAAUAGGGCUGCGAGCAUCUGCUCGGGUGCUCUUCUUAGAGGGACUAUGGGUAUCAAACCCAUGGAAGUUUGAGGCAACAACAGGUCUGUGAUGCCCUUAGACGUUCUGGGCCGCACGCGCGCUACNCUGACGGAGCCCGCAAGUCCCACCUUGGUCGAGAGGCCCGGGUAAUCUCGUGAA
RNAcentral lists this ribosomal RNA (896 nucleotides) under Pichia kudriavzevii. RNAcentral's name for it is "SSU rRNA". It matches the Rfam family "Eukaryotic small subunit ribosomal RNA", at positions 607 to 1558 of the family's 1831-position model. The record is from RNAcentral. Lineage: Eukaryota; Fungi; Ascomycota; Pichiomycetes; Pichiales; Pichiaceae.